Long non-coding RNA from Clupea harengus (Atlantic herring), 2196 nucleotides. The record is from Ensembl. NCBI's taxonomy places the organism in Eukaryota, Metazoa, Chordata, Actinopteri, Clupeiformes, Clupeidae.
UUAGGUCUGUGGGUAUCUGUCUGCAAUCUGUCUUUCACAACACCAGGUCGUGGAAGAAAAGUCUGAAGAGUAUUCAGAUGACUCAUAUGAGGUUCGUGUCAAAAACCCACUCACAACAUGAACCCUGAAAAUGGCUUGUAAACCGUUGUUUAAACAGCUGAACUUUGUAAUUAUUGGAUGCGAUCGUGCCGGGAAAAGUGAAGUAUGUAAUGCCAUACUUGGGAAAAAGACAUUUAGUUUUUGGUCUUUACUGAAAAAAAGACAUGAGACGGCUACAAAGGAGGCACGUGGGAGGACAAUAACAGUUACCCGUGGAGCGGGCUGGAAUGAGGGCAACCUUGGCAAAAAGGAUGUAGAAAGAGAGAUGUUGUACUGUGUAAAUAGGUCACACAAAGCUGGACUUCAUGCUGUUGUCUUUGUUGUGGAUGCUAAUAGACCAUACUCAGAUGCAACCACCAUAGCCUUAGAAGAGCUUCUCCCAGAGAAGGUGUGGGAUCAUACCAUCGUGGUUCUUCGUAAUGCAGAAGCUCAUGGUGAGAAGCUUGGCGAUUCUCUCCAGAGCCUUGUUCAGAAAUGUGGAAACCGAUGUUGUGUACUCAACAGGGAAUCCAUAUGUGGCAUCACUGAGUGGCUUGAGGCAAUGAUAGCGGAGAAAAAACAGAUUUACUUUGGAGGAAAUGUUGAUGCGGAAGACGAUAAAAAAAUAAGUCUGAUUGCAAAUCUCAGACACAACAUUAAAUGUCUUCAACAGCAAAAAAAUAAAGAAGAAGAAAAGCAACUUGAGGAAAUGACAUGGCAAGCCAAAAUGGAACUUCAGAAGAGUACAGCACUGAAAGAUGUUGAAAUACAAAACCUUCAAGAGAUCUGCCGAAAACAGGAGGACGAACUGAAAUCAUUGCAGCAAGAAAUAUGCUCAGAUGCUCCGUCAAAAGGAGCGGCGGUAAAAACGUCCGGUCUGGAAAUCACAUGGCCCAGCAAAUUAAUGGAGAUUUUGGAUAACCUAGAUGAAAAAGAAUUCAAGAGACUGAAGUUUUUUCUACACCAAAAAAAAAGAAUACCCAAAUCACUUGACAGAGAUGAUCUUGCUGAUAAAAUGAUACAGGUAUGGGGUACAUCCCAGUGUAUCAUCGAAACAGAGGUACUGCUGAAAGAUUUGCAGCGCCUUGAUUUGGUGCAAAACCUUACGGAAUUUAGGAAAGACUUGAGUGGCACUACCAUUCAACUAGUGGACACCCCCUCAACCGUACCAAGCACAAAAUGAUCCCAUCAUGUUGACAGUGUCAUGAUGCCCUUAACCUAUCCAAGGAAACAGGAAAUUGUCCAAGCAACAACAACACAAAUCUGUAUUUGAGGUCUUUUGUUCUUUGCUUGGAUAUCUGAAAAUGCCCAAAUCUGACUUUGUGAGGACACAUAAAGCUGCAUGAGUGUCAGAUCUUAGGUUCAGUUCUUAGGCUAUACCUGCUCGGACUCCAACCAAAAAGACUUGACUUACUUUAGACUUUAACAUUCAAGGAUACAAUUUUUAGUCAACAGUGUACAGGAACAGAGUGACUUUUGAUAUUUGUAUGUCAUUGUACUGAAACCCAUAUGCUCGGAGGGAGAGCCCUAUAGCUCACAACCCACUGCAAACAAAGUACUGUCUUGAAACCUCUCAGACUUCUAGAAGUAUUCUCCUAAUGCCUCUCUGAAAUGAGUGGGGGAACCCACAGAGAAGUCAGAAGACGUCGAAAAAGUGGGUAACGGAACAGGGGACAUCGAAAAAAGACCAGACUCCUCCGACAAUGAGGAAAAAUGAUGCCUUACUAACUGGCAAAGAAGUCACCGGACCAAGAGAUGAACCGCUCUGUGGAAUUAUUUCUAUCUCUAAAGAUCUCCACAACUAAAAAAAAAGGACAUACACACGGCUACUUUGGAGUUAAAGGGACUAUUGACACAGAAGCCAGACCCUGACUCUACACCCAGAUCCAUUUGGGCGGAGCACAGGGUGAUUUACCUCCACACUCCAGCAGGGACUUUAGAGGGACAGGGAUCCUUUUACUGUAAGAAACUUUCUCUGUAGUUGGUCUGAUGUUCUUAUGUAGGUUUAUGUGUUUGUUUUCAGUUGAUAACGGAAAUCAGUUUUUAUAUCUUUCAGUGUGAAAAAUCAAUGGAUUGUAUUACUUUACAUAAUAUAAUUUAUCUUAAUGUUAAUGGGCU